Molecule: ribosomal RNA, 494 nt
Filed under: uncultured bacterium
Lineage: Bacteria
Description: partial 16S ribosomal RNA
Rfam family: Bacterial small subunit ribosomal RNA
Source: RNAcentral
GACGAACGCUGGCGGCGUGCUUAACACAUGCAAGUCGAACGGUGAAGCGCCUUCCUUUUUGGUGGGUGUGGAUGAGUGGCGAACGGGUGAGUAACACGUGAGUAACCUGCCCCCUUCUUCUGGAUAACCGCAUGAAAGUGUGGCUAAUACGGGAUAUUCUGGGUCUGUCGCAUGAUGGGUCUGGGAAAGAUAUUGUUUCGGUGGGGGAUGGGCUCGCGGCCUAUCAGCUUGUUGGUGGGGUGAUGGCCUACCAAGGCGGUGACGGGUAGCCGGCCUGAGAGGGUGGACGGUCACACUGGGACUGAGACACGGCCCAGACUCCUACGGGAGGCAGCAGUGGGGAAUAUUGCACAAUGGGCGCAAGGCUGAUGCAGCGACGCCGCGUGAGGGAUGGAGGCCUUCGGGUUGUGAACCUCUUCCGCCAGUGAAGCAGGCCUGCCUCGUUUGUGGGUGGGUUGACGGUAGCUGGAUAAGAAGCGCCGGCUAACUACGUG